UGGGGAAUAUUGGACAAUGGGGGCAACCCUGAUGCAGCGACGCCGCGUGAGUGAAGAAGUAUUUCGGUAUGUAAAGCUCUAUCAGCAGGGAAGAUAAUGACAGUACCUGACUAAGAAGCCCUGGCUAACUACGUGCCAGCAGCCGCGGUAAUACGUAGGGGGCAAGCGUUAUCCGGAUUUACUGGGUGUAAAGGGAGCGUAGACGGAAUGGCAAGUCUGAAGUGAAAUACCCGGGCUCAACCUGGGAACUGCUUUGGAAACUGUUGUUCUAGAGUGUUGGAGAGGUAAGUGGAAUUCCUGGUGUAGCGGUGAAAUGCGUAGAUAUCAGGAAGAACACCGGAGGCGAAGGCGGCUUACUGGACAAUAACUGACGUUGAGGCUCGAAAGCGUGGGGAUCAAACAGGAUUAGAUACCCUGGUAGUCCACGCUGUAAACGAUGAAUACUAGGUGUCGGGGUGCAAAGCAUCUCGGUGCCGUCGCUAACGCAAUAAGUAUUCCACCUGGGGAGUACGUUCGCAAGAAUG
This 524-nucleotide ribosomal RNA is filed under the name uncultured bacterium. Its description in RNAcentral is "bacterial SSU rRNA". It matches the Rfam family "Bacterial small subunit ribosomal RNA", at positions 355 to 896 of the family's 1533-position model. The record is from RNAcentral.